GAUUUCAUUUUGUAGUUGCACACCCUUUACUAUCAUCUUUUGUAUUUGAUGAUUUUAGUAUUAUGAACUUGUUUUAAUGAAUGAUGUAAAGAAUAUUUAUUUUAAAUGUCAAAAGUUAUAUUUUGGGAGAAAUGAGAUGUAAAAAAAAAAGAGAAAUGAUGCAUGUAUGUGAUUUAAAUUAGUCAUAUUACUUGUAUAUUG
This 201-nucleotide long non-coding RNA is filed under the name Ananas comosus (pineapple). Its description in RNAcentral is "long non-coding RNA (ACOM_LNC007242)". Lineage: Eukaryota; Viridiplantae; Streptophyta; Magnoliopsida; Poales; Bromeliaceae. The record is from RNAcentral.